RNAcentral lists this ribosomal RNA (363 nucleotides) under Triticum aestivum (bread wheat). RNAcentral's name for it is "partial small subunit ribosomal RNA". The record is from RNAcentral. Lineage: Eukaryota; Viridiplantae; Streptophyta; Magnoliopsida; Poales; Poaceae.
AUGAAAGGAAAAUCCUGCCGAGGCAAUCGUAUUUGUUUUGGUAGAUAUGCUCUUCAAGCACUUGAACCCGCUUGGAUCACGGCGAGACAGAUACAAGCAGGACGAAGAGCAAUAACACGAUAUGCACGUCGUGGUGGAAAAAUAUGGGUACGUAUAUUUCCCGACAAACUGGUUACACUAAGACCCACAGAAACACGUACGGGCUCGGGAAAGGGGUCCCUCGGAUAUUGGGUAUCCGUUGUUAAACUUGGUCGUAUACUUUAUGAAAUGGGGGGAGUAUCUGAAACUGUAGCUAGAGCAGCUAUCUCCAUAGCUGCCAGUAAAAUGCCCAUACGAAGUCAAUUUAUUCGAUUAGAGAUAUAG